Molecule: long non-coding RNA, 1595 nt
Filed under: Carica papaya (papaya)
Lineage: Eukaryota; Viridiplantae; Streptophyta; Magnoliopsida; Brassicales; Caricaceae
Description: long non-coding RNA (CPAP_LNC012774)
Source: RNAcentral
UCUGUAAACCCUAGUUUUUGUUUUUGAUUCUCAAAGUUCUUCGUACAGACCUAACCUAGAAAUAAUAGUUUGUUGUAUAUAAAGAUUGUGUUACAAGUAGUGCACUCAAUCUAUUACUACCAUUUAUAUAAUAUGAACUAUUAGGGUUUGCAAGAUCGAGAAUAUUACCGGUUAUCGAAAAGAUUUCUUAAGGAACGAUUGAACCUCUUUAUGAGUCGAGAUUUCUUCGCCGAUCUUCUCUAACAUUAUGUUAAAAUUAAGAGAUCUUCGUAUAGUUAUUGAUGUAUCUGCAAAAAAAAUUAAAAAAAAAAUUAACAAAGAAUGUAACAGAAGAAGUGAAAAGCUCGACUAGAAUUUUCAGAAAGAGAGAAUUUUUAUUUUUUGUAUCUCAAUCUGUACAAACUAGGUAUUUAUACAUAGGGUUUUCGUAAAAAUUUUGAUAUUCCUACACCAUAAUUAUACGAUGCCGUUUCUCAAAUAUACAUACACAUAUUCACAUUCCUCUUUUAAGUGGGCUUUUCCUCUUUAUAGAAGAUUUCCAUAUGACAUUUCUUAUUUAGGCCGGAUCAUACAUAUUUACAUUCUUUUUAAGUUAGAUCAUAUAUAUUUACAUUCCACUUUAGGCUGGAUCACAUCUGCUAACUUCGGCUUUUCCUUGCGGGCUUUCAACAUGGGCUCUUCAUAUUUUUGACAUAUUUCAUGCAUAUUUUUAUUUAUAUAUAUAUAUAUAUUUCUAUAAAAUACAAUAGUAAAGGAGAAAAUGGAUGCUAGGUUGAAAAUUAUUGUUUUUUCAGAUUAGAGGAUAUAGUGAUUUUUGUAUAAUAUAACAAAUUAUAAUAAUUAAAAUUAAACUUUUCUCUUGAAUUAUGAAGUCCCACAUUAUUAAUUAAGAAACCCUGCGAAGUAAAAGAGACAAACAGAGAUGAAGCGAUGUCUUCCUUUUUUAGGUCCUUCACUACUAAUGGGUAUUUAGCUGACAGAAAGGCCGAACAAAAUUAAAAGAAAAAACAUAAAAUCCAAAAAUAUAAUUUGGGCUUCCAGUUGGUGGGUAGGCCUGGAAACCCCCACCCAUAUUAUUUUAAGCAACAUAACGACACCCUAACCUCCAGCAAUGAAGUACCAACUGGCCCAUUUUGCUGACCAUACAUUGUCCAAUAUAUAAAUAAUACAUGUAUAUAUAUAUAUAUAUAUAUAUAUAUUCACUGCCCUGAUCCUUGCUUGUAAAAUUUAUAUAGUUAAAAAAAUUUGUUCAUUCUUUUUAAAAAAUUAGUCACAAACUCAUAUAAGUAAAUAAUCUAAAUUAAGUAGAUAAUGUUGAAUAAAUUGAUGGCAUAUAUAUAUAUAUAUAUAUAUAUGUAUGUAUGUAUGUAAAAUUUUUUCCAUGUGAGAAGCAUUAGCAUGUGGGUUUUGUUUACCUGUUCUUCUUCCUGUUUUUUUUUUACUGAAAGUUACCUAAUCUUCAUUCCUCCACUUUCUCCUCUGCCACCACGUGAAGCUUUUCAGAAUCCACCACCACCAAAUUACUACUCUUAACCUAUUCUUCUUUACUUUACCUUUUGUAAGAACAAUACACAUUUUAUUUUCAUUGCUUUGCA